RNAcentral lists this unclassified non-coding RNA (258 nucleotides) under Hevea brasiliensis (rubber tree). The record is from RNAcentral. Lineage: Eukaryota; Viridiplantae; Streptophyta; Magnoliopsida; Malpighiales; Euphorbiaceae.
GUCCCAUGAAGGGAAGGAGGUUUUUGCCCAUUGAAAAAAGAAUGAGACCUGCUUAUUGUAGUCUUAUAAAUGGAAAGGGACUUCAUUCUAAGUUGGAAAAUGACAUAGAGGAAGAGACAAUUGUCUAUUGUAGUUCAAAACACUUAUUAUUGUGGUAUAUAAGAUAGUUAAAGUAAUAAAUAUAUUGGAUUGUAUUUAGAUAAACUGAAAGAGAUUAACUAAUAUUUGCUACUAACAGUUUGAUGUGAGAGCUUUCUU